GUAGGUGGCAAGCGUUGUCCGGAAUUAUUGGGCGUAAAGCGCGCGCAGGCGGUCCUUUAAGUCUGAUGUGAAAGCCUACGGCUCAACCGUGGAGGGUCAUUGGAAACUGGGGGACUUGAGUACAGAAGAGGAAAGCGGAAUUCCAAGUGUAGCGGUGAAAUGCGUAGAGAUUUGGAGGAACACCAGUGGCGAAGGCGGCUUUCUGGUCUGUAACUGACGCUGAGGCGCGAAAGCGUGGGGAGCAAACAGGUUUAGAUACCCUGGUAGUCCACGCCGUAAACGAUGAGUGCUAAGUGUUAGGGGGUUUCCCGCCCCCCUUAGUGCUGCAGCUAACGCAUUAAGCACUCCGCCUGGGGGAGUACGGCCGCAAGGCUG
This 375-nucleotide ribosomal RNA is filed under the name uncultured organism. Its description in RNAcentral is "partial 16S ribosomal RNA". It matches the Rfam family "Bacterial small subunit ribosomal RNA", at positions 527 to 896 of the family's 1533-position model. The record is from RNAcentral.